RNAcentral lists this ribosomal RNA (497 nucleotides) under uncultured bacterium. RNAcentral's name for it is "partial 16S ribosomal RNA". It matches the Rfam family "Bacterial small subunit ribosomal RNA", at positions 28 to 507 of the family's 1533-position model. The record is from RNAcentral.
GAUGAACGCUGGCGGCGUGCCUAAUACAUGCAAGUCGAGCGAACGGACGAGACGCUUGCUUCUCUGAUGUUAGCGGCGGACGGGUGAGUCACACGUGUAUACCCUACCUAUAAGUCUGGGAUAACUUCGGGAAACCGGAGCUUAUACCGUAUAAUAUUUUGAACCGCAUGGUUCAAAAGUGAAAGACGGCGUUGCUGUCUCUUAUAGAUGGAUCCGCGCUGCUUUAGGUUGUUGGUAAGGUAACGGCUUACCAAGGCAACGAUGCAUAGCCGACCUGGUAGGGUGGUAGGCCACACUGGAACUGAGACGCGGUCCAGGCUACUACGGGAGGCAGCAGUAGGGAAUCUUCCGCAAUGGGCGAGAGCCUGACGGAGCAACGCCGCGUGAGUGAUGAAGGUCUUCGGAUCGUAAAACUCUGUUAUUAGGGAAGAACAUAUGUGUAAGUAACUGUGCACAUCUUGACGGUACCUAAUCAGAAAGCCACGGCUAACUACGUG